Molecule: small nucleolar RNA, 127 nt
Organism: Ictidomys tridecemlineatus (thirteen-lined ground squirrel)
Lineage: Eukaryota; Metazoa; Chordata; Mammalia; Rodentia; Sciuridae
Source: Ensembl
GUAUUCAGAGUCUCAUAAGAUCUCCCUGGGCAUCUCACAGUGUCUGGUACCACAGCAAACCUUGACUCUAAAUGAAUGCUUUGCCUCUGUGCCCAUAGGUAUUGGUACUGAAGCAAGCUGUACAGGU